This 466-nucleotide ribosomal RNA is filed under the name uncultured bacterium. Its description in RNAcentral is "bacterial SSU rRNA". It matches the Rfam family "Bacterial small subunit ribosomal RNA", at positions 28 to 496 of the family's 1533-position model. The record is from RNAcentral.
GAUGAACGCUGGCGGCGUGCCUAAUACAUGCAAGUCGAACGAAUCACUUCGGUGGUUAGUGGCGAACGGGUGAGUAAUACGUAAGCAACCUGCCUAUGGGACUGGGAUAACGUUUGGAAACGGACGCUAAUACCGGAUAGGUGGAGAGGAGGCAUCUCUUCUCUAUUAAAGUUUAGAUACACCGAUAGAUGGGCUUACGGCGCAUUAGCUAGUUGGUGAGGUAACGGCUCACCAAGGCGACGAUGCGUAUCCGAGCUGAGAGGCUGAUCGGACACACUGGGACUGAGACACGGCCCAGACUCCUACGGGAGACAGCAGUUAGGAAUAUUCGUCAAUGGGGGAAACCCUGAACGAGCAAUGCCGCGUGAGUGAUGAAGGCCCUAUGGGUCGUAAAACUCUGUUAUAAGGGAGAAACCUUGGUAUAGGAAAUGAUAUCAAGCUGACGGUACCUAUCAGAAAGCCCCGG